Molecule: long non-coding RNA, 978 nt
Organism: Caretta caretta (loggerhead turtle)
Lineage: Eukaryota; Metazoa; Chordata; Testudines; Cheloniidae
Source: RefSeq, a predicted model, not a curated record
UGAACUACUGAACCUUUUGAGGCUGGCCCAUCAUUAACUGGGACACAGAUCAACUAGGAAGUUCAGAACUAAGGCUGACAUUCUACCUUUAACUCGGGCUGUCGUUCCAGGUUCCAAAGGUGCCUCGAAUUAGAUAUCAUUUCCAUUUAUCUCUGGGCAUUAUAGAUGCUGCAUUACAUGCAUGUGCGAAACUGAAGGCAAUGGAAUUACUCCACACUAACAGUAGCGUAAAUGAGAUCAGAACCUGUUCCAGCGACCUCACAAAGCACCUGUCCUGGAAGUUCAAGCAAGAUUGUGAAACAUCAACGAGCAGCACCACAAUCUUCAGCUGCAUGAGUAGCGAGUCCAAGACCAGCAACUCUGUAUGGAAAUGCAGGCAUGGCAAACAAGUGCACAUGAUUCAUUCAUCUGUACAGGCUAGAAAGAGCAACUCUGGCAAGCUGAUAGAGUAUGCAAAUCUGAUGUCAUAAAACUGAUGGCAGCAGCCAGUCAUUCAAUACUUUCAUUCCUGCAUUACUUCUUGCACAUACUUUGUAAAGUGUUUUGAAAAUUAAAAGCACUCUGUGUAAGUGCUAAGUAUUAUUAGUAUCUUCACUGCUGUUUAGUAACAUUGUGACAGGGCAUAAGGCUCUGUUAGUUCACCUAAUACUGAUGAGUGUUUAAUCCCCCCCCACCCCAUGAUUCUGCAAAAAUUUUUGCCAUCUGAUGGCUCUGCAUAGACCUAUUUGAAAUGAGUCUGAGUCCAGUUCCCAGUUGUCUACAUCAGAAACAAAACCCUUACCAUGACUGACACUAAUUGGCACCCUGGCAGUCUCAGCAAAGAGGCAAAGGAAUGAAUGGGCAUGGAAACUGAACUACCAUCUCAGGCCUAGAAGUGACUGCUCCUUCUAGUUCAAGGUAGAUACACUCUGAUGGAGAAGUUUGGGAAGCCUGCAUGGUCCCUGCCUAUGCUAUGCCAGUUCUCUGGGUGAACAGGGG